GGGGCUGUUUGGUUUUGACAGCAAGGUAAAUGGGUAUUGUAAGCAUGCCGAGCCAAGUGAUAUGUCUCGUAAAUCCGGGUCACAAAACAAUAAAAGGCGAAAACACUUACGCUCUUGCUGCCUGAUC
This 127-nucleotide transfer-messenger RNA is filed under the name Bacteroidales bacterium. RNAcentral's name for it is "partial transfer-messenger RNA". It matches the Rfam family "transfer-messenger RNA", at positions 1 to 130 of the family's 374-position model. From Rfam's summary of the family: Bacterial tmRNA, also known as 10Sa RNA or SsrA, is named for its dual tRNA and mRNA-like properties. Its role is to liberate the mRNA from a stalled ribosome. The record is from RNAcentral. Lineage: Bacteria; Pseudomonadati; Bacteroidota; Bacteroidia; Bacteroidales.